UGCCUUCCCUUUGUGCGAGCCCCCGCUAGCUAAGCAUGCAGCGAAGGAGGGAGGAUGCAAAGGCGGCCCGGGGGGAAUAAGCGCUCCCGCAUGCAGCCAGGUAGGGAACGGCUCCGUCCGAGGGGGCCCGGUGGCACGGAGGCGGCUCUCACCUCCCCCCUCCCCAUGCGCUCACCUUCACGGUUUCUUCCGAGCCCUGAGAUAAAGCUACGGUUUGUCACCGUCCUCGGCAGCUAAAGAUCUCCGCACGCUCGUAGGGGGAACCGUUGUGUGCUUAUCCCGUGUUACCAACGGUAACGCUAUUAAUCGACCAACAACAACAAAAAAUCACUAAUUCCACAUCUUUAAGCAAAACUACGUUACGUAAAUAUCUACAACCAGAAAGAGAGAGAGAAAUUCAGAGCUUGAAAGAGCGAAGCGGGCCCGGGAAAGGCUGCAGGAACCGAGGAGGCUCACACAUGGCCCUCAGCGUUAGCGUGGCUCUCUUCCGCUCCCCCCGCAGCCCCGAAGCAGCUAUUAAGAGUUUAAGGACAUACUGAGAACGUCUAAAAUCGUUAAUCCGUACAGGUGCGGAUGACUACAGCCUAGGAAAAUGAUACUGGCUCUUUAAACCAUCAAGAUGUGUUUAUAGGUUCAUCAAGAGAAAUUAAAGUUGGCUGUGAGCUCCCGAAUCCUA
Molecule: long non-coding RNA, 676 nt
Filed under: Gallus gallus (chicken)
Lineage: Eukaryota; Metazoa; Chordata; Aves; Galliformes; Phasianidae
Description: HOXA10 antisense RNA, transcript variant 3 (HOXA10-AS)
Source: RNAcentral